AUGCAAGUCGAACGGCAGCGCGAGAGAGCUUGCUCUCUUGGCGGCGAGUGGCGGACGGGUGAGUAAUAUAUCGGAACGUGCCCAGUAGCGGGGGAUAACUACUCGAAAGAGUGGCUAAUACCGCAUACGCCCUACGGGGGAAAGGGGGGGAUCGCAAGACCUCUCACUAUUGGAGCGGCCGAUAUCGGAUUAGCUAGUUGGUGGGGUAAAGGCUCACCAAGGCAACGAUCCGUAGCUGGUUUGAGAGGACGACCAGCCACACUGGGACUGAGACACGGCCCAGACUCCUACGGGAGGCAGCAGUGGGGAAUUUUGGACAAUGGGGGAAACCCUGAUCCAGCCAUCCCGCGUGUAUGAUGAAGGCCUUCGGGUUGUAAAGUACUUUUGGCAGAGAAGAAAAGGUAUCCCCUAAUACGGGAUACUGCUGACGGUAUCUGCAGAAUAAGCACCGGCUAACUACGUGCCAGCAGCCGCGGUAAUACGUAGGGUGCAAGCGUUAAUCGGAAUUACUGGGCGUAAAGCGUGUGUAGGCGGUUCGGAAAGAAAGAUGUGAAAUCCCAGGGCUCAACCUUGGAACUGCAUUUUUAACUGCCGAGCUAGAGUAUGUCAGAGGGGGGUAGAAUUCCACGUGUAGCAGUGAAAUGCGUAAAUAUGAGGAGGAAUACCGAUGGCGAAUGCAGUCCCCUGGCAUAAUACUGACGCUCAAACACGAAAGCGUUGGGAGCGGGCGGGAUUAGAUACCCUGGUAGUCCCCGCCCUAUACGACGUCUACUAGCGGGUGGGGCCGUUAGGCCUUAGUAGCGCAGCUAACGCGUG
This 816-nucleotide ribosomal RNA is filed under the name Alcaligenes faecalis. RNAcentral describes it as "bacterial SSU rRNA". It matches the Rfam family "Bacterial small subunit ribosomal RNA", at positions 55 to 861 of the family's 1533-position model. Lineage: Bacteria; Pseudomonadati; Pseudomonadota; Betaproteobacteria; Burkholderiales; Alcaligenaceae. The record is from RNAcentral.